RNAcentral lists this long non-coding RNA (619 nucleotides) under Camelus dromedarius (Arabian camel). RNAcentral's name for it is "lncRNA (ENSCDRG00005019535.1)". Lineage: Eukaryota; Metazoa; Chordata; Mammalia; Artiodactyla; Camelidae. The record is from RNAcentral.
GGCGCUGAUAGCUGGACCGCGCCUCAACCGAGCUUGGUCCUUCCCUUUAGUCCCGCCCCACUGCUCCGCGCGGAUUGGCGGCGGGAAGCAGCUCUGGCGCUGAUUGGGCGGCGGUGGAGUCGCUCGUGGAGACGGUAAGUUCGGGUGCCCCAGAGUGCUAAAUUUAUCUUCAGACAAGCGACCGCGCCAGCCGCGAAUCGGAUGGCUAUGGAGGUGGCAUAGGCGAUAUCCCUGAGCCGAGAGCAUCACCCUGUCCCCGAAUCCUUCUUUCCUCUGUUUUGUUUUUCAUUUACCCCCUUCCUUUCUCCCUUCUCCCCCCCUCCAGUCCGCGACGACUGGCUCUUGACCCUGUUCAGGCCUCGGUGAAGGCUUUUGGUUACUCCCCUUCCACCCUAUCCCUUAAUUUAAUUUUUUCGAAGAAUCUACAUUUCAAGCUGCCAAGGUGGAGAGUGUGACUACAGAAGGGACUGCUUCUCAUUUCAGGUAACAGUACUCCGUCUGAAAGACGCUGGUGAGUAUAAUGCCAUUGCCCUUACAAAAACUGUUCAAGGAACCAUAGUAUUCCUCUGGCCACAGGAAUUGGCCCAGAAGUAGCAUGUGACCCAAUACAGGCAAGUGA